Long non-coding RNA from Physeter macrocephalus (sperm whale), 483 nucleotides. RefSeq lists it as uncharacterized. Lineage: Eukaryota; Metazoa; Chordata; Mammalia; Artiodactyla; Physeteridae. The record is from RefSeq and is a predicted model, not a curated record. The transcript has 3 exons.
UGCGGCUCUUUGGAGGCGGUAGCUUCUUCGGCGUCGAGACUGGAGGCUGAGUCUAAACUGUGUGGGGCGCAAAUGGGAUCCGGCUGUUAGUCGGGUUGGCAUAGGGUUAACUCAUUUUUCAAAGAUGUUUGCUGGCUCAGAUUUGCAGUUAAAAUUGGUAACCUGAAAAACAACUUGCAAAAAAAGUGCUCUUAGGAAGGUGAUCUCUGGAAGUUUUUUUUAUGUAGUGAAAGAAAAUGAGAGACAAAUAGUUUAGUGGAAAGAGAAUAUAGGCUUUGGAUUCAGAAGAUCUGGCUUUGAAUCCCUGUUUUCCUCUUAUCGUAUGAGUGAGAUUUGGGGUAAGUUAUUUUAGUUUUUCUGAACUUUUGUUUCCGUAUCUGUAAAAUGGUGAUACUACUACUUCCUGCUUGGGAUUAUUGUGAGGAUUAAGUUAGAAAAGGUAUAAAAAGCCCCUAUCCUUUGGCACAUAGUAGGUACUUAAUA